CAGACACCACAAUGGCACCCACAUGAUUACAUCUACACCUUACAUAGUCCCUGGGCACACCGUGGGAAGGGCAUGGCUUUAGGUGGAUGCCACUACACAGAUAAUUCUGGGAAGCCCAUGGAUGGACAGGUCACUUCCAAGUUCUUGUUGCUCCAUGGAUUCUGAGUCCUCUGAAGAGGAGGUGAAUGCUCUCAGAGGUCGGUACUAUUAGCACCCUGGCUUCUCUGCAUCCCGAGCUGUGUUUUUCCAGGAAGUGACGACAGUAGAGCUCACCUGAUGGGUCAUGCUAGAUGUUCACAGAGGUAGGAAGCACUCUUGUUCUUCGGAUGAUGCAGGGCCAUUCUUACAGCCAUCCGGACACAGGCCAGGGUCUGGAUUGGGUCUGCAGGCUCUGUUUUGCCAACUCCUGUCCCGAGUGUUUCAAAAGCUGAUGAUGCAUGAUGGAGGGUUGGUGCAGGAUGAGCUUAACUGUCCCUCCGAAGACAAUCCUGAAAGUGUGAAGAUUGGAGCCAGGAUCUGAUUUCUUCAAAAACUGUAGUCUGGCUGAUCCACCCACACCCACCAUCGCCAGGCUAUUCAUUUU
This is a long non-coding RNA of Peromyscus leucopus (white-footed mouse), 583 nucleotides long. RefSeq lists it as uncharacterized. The transcript has 4 exons. The record is from RefSeq and is a predicted model, not a curated record. NCBI's taxonomy places the organism in Eukaryota, Metazoa, Chordata, Mammalia, Rodentia, Cricetidae.